Long non-coding RNA from Neofelis nebulosa (Clouded leopard), 605 nucleotides. RefSeq lists it as uncharacterized. The transcript has 4 exons. The record is from RefSeq and is a predicted model, not a curated record. Lineage: Eukaryota; Metazoa; Chordata; Mammalia; Carnivora; Felidae.
UGGCCAGCUGGGGUUUGUACCAAAUCGCACCUAACCCCACUCCCAAAUUCAAGGGUAUCAGGGGUGAGAAGAACACGGAAAUUUCUUACAAAAGGUCCAAGUCGAAAGGCAAAAGCCCUUGAAAAAGAAUGACCUUCUUAAAUUCUGAUAUACAGCCACUCUUCUUCCAUCUCUAUUUCGAAAGAGGAACAUACAUACAAGAAACAGGUGACACUGCUGGCCACAAGAGCUGGGAUGUGGUCACAGAAAUAUGAAAAAUUACAGAGGAAAACAGGAGUCACUCUGGAAUCUCAUCUAGGCGAGCUCUAUUUUGAAAGAAUUAAAAGCAGCCAAGAAAGUAUACCGGCUCUCCAAGGAAAAGAGGCCCUCAAAGCUCGGACAGGAAAUGAACUUGGUGCUUCACCAUCCACACACAGGACCCUGGGCAGGGACUUGGAACAGAUUGGGGUUAUUAGGAAACAAGAGAACUUCGGAUCACAAAGCAGCUUUUCAAAACUCCUUAAAGUCAAAAUGUUUCAAGAAUAAGAAAGAAGGACAACUUCAACUCAUGUACCUUUACUUGUCCAGUCUCUUGAUUAGAAUAAAGAGGUUCUCAGCAAUGAAAA